AUGGAGGGAAGGAGCUGGGGGAGAAGAGAGAGAGGGAGAAAGAGGAAAGGAGAGAAAAGAGAGGAAAGGAGGGAGAGAAGAAAAAGGGAGGGAGAAAGGAAAGGAGAGAGAAAAGAGAGGGAGGGAGAAGGAAAAGGAGAGAGAAAAGAGAGGGAGAGAGAAGAAAGAGAGGGAGAAAGAGGAAAGGAGAGAAAAGAAAGAGAGGAAAGGAGGGAGAGAGAAAAGAAAAAGGGAGGGAGAAAGGAAAGGAGAGAGAAAAGAGACGGAGAGAGGGAGGGAAUGAGAGUCUGUCCCAAGGUCACCCAGUACAAAGCACAAGCUGACUCAGUCUUCUUCCGGGGAGCCCCAGGUUCUCUUUCCCAGUGUCUGGGAUGUGCUCAUACUGCUCUGCUGGGGCUCAUCAGAGGCACCUUCUGGAGUUCUGAACGUCCCAGGUGGCAAACCAAUGCUCAGAAGAUUGUUUCAUUGGAAGAGAGACAGACAGACACAGGAGAGGAGAAACCAGUAAGGGGCCAGACAAGAGGUGUUUCAGACUAACCAGGUACAAGGAUGAAUCUGUGCUCUUCGGGGGGGGGUUCUCCAGCAAUGCAGACGACCAUUUUUCUACAUAUCCUCAGAAGUUCUGGCCCCUCAUCCAUGUCCUUCCAUCUGCCCCAAAGGGGUCCAUUUUCCUUUUAAUCAGUUUCUCCUACUUACUUGCCCCGAGUUAAAUACAUUCUGGGAGCUUUUGAGUUCACACCUUGAAUCUUGGCUAAGAAUUGCACCCCCCCCCCAUAUUGUUCCUUGGCCAAGAUUCUGGUUUAAAUCUAAUCUCUCCUUCUAAAUCCUGCUCAUUUAUCUCUUAAUCUUUUUAGUCUUUCUUUACUGGACUGAAACUGGCCUCCAUCUUCUUUCAGAGGCACUGGCCUGGCUCACUGCUCCUGGACCUCUUAUCCCUGUCCUGUCAGAGAACAAAGUGCAAACAAGGAGUUCCAUGAGCCUCACUUGUGUGGUUCUCAGUCCAAGUGUCUUUCCCUCAGUGGGGAUGCUUUGAUCAAAGUCCCCUUUUAGGAUGGGCUGAUCUGAGGACUUUCUAGCAGUUCCGGAACAUCAAAGAAGGAAUAAGGGAGGCUGGAUUUGGUCUUACCUGGGGCUUUGGAGAUGAUUUAUUUCACAGAAUUUCAGAGUCUCUGAGACAGAAAGGCCCCUUGAGGCCAUCUAGUACAUCAGAAAAAGCAUUCUCUAGAAAAUCCCUAAUAAGGGGCCAUCCAGAUCUUGUGUUUGAAGAUACUGAGGGAGGGGGGAAUCCACUACAGUGCCGGACUUGGGGAAAUAAAGACCAAAAUGCAACAUAGUCCCUUCCUGCC
This 1346-nucleotide long non-coding RNA is filed under the name Monodelphis domestica (gray short-tailed opossum). RNAcentral describes it as "lncRNA (ENSMODG00000051294.1)". Lineage: Eukaryota; Metazoa; Chordata; Mammalia; Didelphimorphia; Didelphidae. The record is from RNAcentral.